AGAUGAGUCUUUGAGAAGACUGCUUGACGUAUUAAAGGUGCAACAAGGAGUGAGGGAUGGAAUGGAGACUUUGGAAGAAUGGUGACCAACUUAUUGAAUCGGCAAGGGAUGAGAAGGAGACCUUGACUUUGGCAAGGAAAAUAAAUAUGUUGGUCAGGCUAAUUGAACGUUACUUCGUCCUCACAAAGGUCACAUUCAGGGAAGUUUCUUGGCAAACUAUUAUAUUGGCAUUCACCUAGAAAUCCAACCCAAAACGUUUUGGUUACGGGCUAUAAGCUUUUAUUGAUGUGCUUUUGUUUACUCAAAAGUUUUCAUUAUACUAUUAUAAGACUCCAUAUUCUUGCAGUUUCAAUUGAGCAUCUUUCUUUCCUUUCCUCUUAACAUCAAAGUCAUAUAUGAUUAUGGAUAUGCUGUUCCAAUGUUUAGGAAGGUGGAGAAAUGAGAGCAGGAACAAAGUCUCAAGCAUGAGCAGAACCGCAGGCCGAAAUCCAUUUUGAGAGGCACAGCCUCAGGGCCAUAUUUCCGAGACAUCCAACUCAAGAGUUUUCAGUUACAGAGAGCUGAAGACUGCUACUAAGAAUUUUCAAGGCCUUCAAGAAAUGGAACCCAGAAGACUUUCAAGGCCUUAAAGAGUGGCAGGAUGAAUCACUGGUAUAAUCAAACAAUCAAUACCUUGGACAAAAGAAGAGUGGGCGGUAAAGACGCGGAAAUCAUAUAGCCAAAAUCAAAUUGACGAGGUGCGCAUUGAAGUGGCUGAUUAUAUACAGAGUUUGAUGUAGGACUGUGACUGCCAAGAUGUUUUUUGAGUAAGGCUAGCUAGUUUUGGCUUUGAAGCAAAUCUUGGUGUGGAACUUUUGUACAUUGUUGCUCAUAUGUUUCCAAGCUAGCUUUUGUAAGUUUAGGGGUUUAUUUUCUGAAUUAUGUUGAAUCAUGAAUUUGGAAAGAAAAUUAAUGGAAAGCCCCUAAUUUUGGAUGAUGAGAAAUGCAAUUUUUUUCCCAGCAAUAGCUAAAUGCAAACUUUUCACAUCAUGCUUGUCAAAAUGAA
Rosa rugosa (rugosa rose) is the source of this 1045-nucleotide long non-coding RNA. RefSeq lists it as uncharacterized. NCBI's taxonomy places the organism in Eukaryota, Viridiplantae, Streptophyta, Magnoliopsida, Rosales, Rosaceae. The transcript is spliced from 3 exons. The record is from RefSeq and is a predicted model, not a curated record.